GACGAACGCUGGCGGCGUGCCUAAUACAUGCAAGUUGAGCGCUGAAGGUUGGUACUUGUACCAACUGGAUGAGCAGCGAACGGGUGAGUAACGCGUGGGGAAUCUGCCUUUGAGCGGGGGACAACAUUUGGAAACGAAUGCUAAUACCGCAUAAAAACUUUAAACACAAGUUUUAAGUUUGAAAGAUGCAAUUGCAUCACUCAAAGAUGAUCCCGCGUGGUAUUAGCUAGUUGGUGAGGUAAAGGCUCACCAAGGCGAUGAUACAUAGCCGACCUGAGAGGGUGAUCGGCCAAAUUGGGACUGAGACACGGCCCAAACUCAUACGGGAGGCAGCAGUAGGGAAUCGUCGGCAAUGGACGAAAGUCUGAACGAGCAACGCCGCGUGAGUGAAGAAGGUUUUCGGAUCGUAAAACUCUGUUGGUAGAGAAGAACGUUGGUGAGAGUGGAAAGCUCAUCAAGUGACGGUAACUACCCAGAAAGGGACGGCUAACUACGUG
RNAcentral lists this ribosomal RNA (497 nucleotides) under uncultured bacterium. RNAcentral describes it as "partial 16S ribosomal RNA". It matches the Rfam family "Bacterial small subunit ribosomal RNA", at positions 28 to 507 of the family's 1533-position model. The record is from RNAcentral.